AUUGAACGCUGGCGGCAUGCUUUACACAUGCAAGUCGAACGGUAACAGGCCGCAAGGUGCUGACGAGUGGCGAACGGGUGCGUAAUGCAUCGGAACGUGCCCAGUCGUGGGGGAUAACUACUCGAAAGAGUAGCUAAUACCGCAUACGAUCUAUGGAUGAAAGCGGGGGACCGUAAGGCCUCGCGCGAUUGGAGCGGCCGAUGUCAGAUUAGGUAGUUGGUGGGGUAAAGGCUCACCAAGCCAACGAUCUGUAGCUGGUCUGAGAGGGCGAGCAGCCACACUGGAACUGAGACACGGCCCAGACUCCUACGGGAGGCAGCAGUGGGGAAUUUUGGACAAUGGGCGCAAGCCUGAUCCAGCAAUGCCGCGUGCAGGAAGAAGGCCUUCGGGUUGUAAACUGCUUUUGUACGGAACGAAACGGCUCUGGCUAAUACCCGGGGCUAAUGACGGUACCGUAAGAAUAAGCACCGGCUAACUACGUG
RNAcentral lists this ribosomal RNA (482 nucleotides) under uncultured bacterium. Its description in RNAcentral is "partial 16S ribosomal RNA". It matches the Rfam family "Bacterial small subunit ribosomal RNA", at positions 30 to 507 of the family's 1533-position model. The record is from RNAcentral.